RNAcentral lists this ribosomal RNA (594 nucleotides) under uncultured Bacteroidota bacterium. RNAcentral describes it as "bacterial SSU rRNA". It matches the Rfam family "Bacterial small subunit ribosomal RNA", at positions 122 to 715 of the family's 1533-position model. Lineage: Bacteria; Pseudomonadati; Bacteroidota. The record is from RNAcentral.
CAACCUGCCGCUUACUCGGGGAUAGCCUUUCGAAAGAAAGAUUAAUACCCGAUGGUAUAAAGAGUUCGCAUGUUCUCUUUAUUAAAGAAUUUCGGUAAGCGAUGGGGAUGCGUUCCAUUAGAUUGUUGGCGGGGUAACGGCCCACCAAGUCUACGAUGGAUAGGGGUUCUGAGAGGAAGGUCCCCCACAUUGGAACUGAGACACGGUCCAAACUCCUACGGGGGGCAGCAGUGAGGAAUAUUGGUCAAUGGACGAGAGUCUGAACCAGCCAAGUAGCGUGAAGGAUGACUGCCCUAUGGGUUGUAAACUUCUUUUAUAAGGGAAUAAAGUGAGGGACGUGUCCCUUUUUGUAUGUACCUUAUGAAUAAGGAUCGGCUAACUCCGUGCCAGCAGUCGCGGUAAUACGGAGGAUCCAAGCGUUAUCCGGAUUUAUUGGGUUUAAAGGGAGCGUAGGUUGACAUAUAAGUCAGCUGUGAAAGUUUACGGCUCAACCGUGAAAUUGCAGUUGAUACUGUAUGUCUUGAGUGUACAAGAGGUGGGCGGAAUUCGUGGUGUAGCGGUGAAAUGCUUAGAUAUCACGAAGAACUCCGAUUG